Mesocricetus auratus (golden hamster) is the source of this 4228-nucleotide long non-coding RNA. RefSeq lists it as uncharacterized. NCBI's taxonomy places the organism in Eukaryota, Metazoa, Chordata, Mammalia, Rodentia, Cricetidae. The transcript is spliced from 9 exons. The record is from RefSeq and is a predicted model, not a curated record.
CAGUUAUUGUUCAGUUGGGAGAGGGAGAGAGAGGUUUUCUUCAGUGCUGUAGCCCCCAAGUAAAUUGCCCGUGCUUCUGUAAAUAACUCCUCACCCACGCUCGCUCCUCACUUUGGAGAAAGUUCUAGCCCAUGGUCCUGUGGAAGUCCCCUCCAGCUCGGCAUGCUUGGCAGUUUCUCAGAUUGAGUUGCGGUUAUAGAUUUGGGGAGAGGAACGCAGACACGAGCCAUCUCCUUAUUUCACAGUCGGAGCGGACAGAUGACCCAACUGACUUUUUGGUGGUCGUGGCCUCCAUCUCUUGGCUCACUGCUGGCAGGGAUGAACCGCGGAGGAUCACCAGAUGCCUGGACAGCAUCUCUUGGAAACUAAGACUUGGAAGGACAAAACCAGAAAGCAAAGUAGACAGGAGGGACUGGAGAAUCCCUGGAAGCUCUCAGGCCAACUAGCCUGCUGUACAGUGGUGACUGCAUACCAAGAGACCCUACCUCAAUCAAGGUGUGGAAGUGGUGUUGCUUUUUCUGUGUACUCUGGCCAUAACGUGUCACUCCAGACCCCCAGCAAUGAAAAGAGAGGAACAUGAAAUGAAGCCUCCAACGCUGUGAGCCCGGAUAAACCUCCUCUGCCAACGAGCUGAGUUUGGAAAUAGUUUGGACCUUUGUUCCAGUGAAGGAAGGCCGACUGAUGACAUGUUUGUCUGCUGGGAGGAAGGCACAGAAAAGGACCCCCUGGGCCCAGAGCCGAUCCUAGCAUCAAAUACUGCUGAGAAACCUCGAGAUGCUUGAAGUCCAGAAAAGGGAGAUGUUUGCUAGAGCCCGUAGAUGGGAGAUGAAGUCAGGGUCCAAUAAUGGAACUGUGUGACUUGGGAGUGGCCAUAAAGGUCAUCACUGGCCGGAUGUUAGAUGAAGUUCAUUGCACAUAUUCUUAUUUAGCACCAGAGAUGUUGGAGGGCCCAGGGUAUCACAGACCUCCUGAACACAUGGAGCCUGGGCAAACUGAUUUACACUAUGGUCACUGGGUUCACAAGGUAACAAAGCCUUCAGCUCUGCACCAUCUGAUUGCAGGCGUGCAAGGCCACCAACCACGUGGAAACUUGGGAAAUCCUUAUAUCCUACUUACCUGUUACAGGUUCUGGGGAGAGAAUAACCAUAGGCCAACUCAUGGGGCACCCAUGGCUAUGACUCUGUGCUGAAGCUUUGCCACCAGACCCCCGUCCCCCCAGAAAUCAUCCCAAUAAUUCCAGUCACCAAGAUUGUGGAAGCCAUGGGCACCAUGAGCUACAAAGUCCAAGAAAUCAUGGAACCUGUAGGAAAGAGAAGCCAAAUGAUGUCCUAGUAGCCUACACUACACUGAAAUACCGAUUAAGCCAUGGCACCGUUUUCACCACGCAGGAAAGUUUGUGAAGCAUCAUUCAAACAUGAGCCCUACAGGUACUCCUCCCUCUUAAUCUCAUUUUGGAAAAACCAACUGCAAGAGGUGGAUGAGAAGGGAAAGAGCAAGGGCCGCUCAGGACCCCGCUUUACCUGACCCUUUUAUGCUGCUGUCCCUAUGACCCAGCCCCGCACAGUGUUGCUGGGGAUGGUCAGAGCACCCGCAGCACCGUGGAGGAGAUGGGCAUUGACAGGAGGUUCAGGGAAACACCAUCUGAUGAUAUAACCUCCACGGACCCUCCCCAGGAUGGGAAAACCAAAGAUGAAAAUGACCGGGGUAGGUUCUCCAGGAACGAUCACUGGCUUCUAUCAUCAGUGAUCACCAGCCCCAGGGGACCCCAGCCUCCAACAGCACUAGACGAAGCGGCUGGAAGGAGGCCGGGAGGCAGACUGUUCCCUUGCUUCGUACUCACUGCCGCUGCCUCUCUAUCUCAGAGAAAAACAGCACAUCUCCCAGGGGUGACAACAGCCCCAGGUCUGUGGUCAUCAAACCACAGGACUGGGUCAGCCUGGUCUGGACUGAGCUAUAGGAAGGAACCAGGCCAGAACUCCAGGAGUCUGUGUGCUCAAAUGCCCAUUGCCAGACAGCCCUGUGACCGGGCACAUUUCCUCUACCCCCCUCCUCCCAGCUGCUGAGUCGGAGCUAAUAGCUCCUCCCUCGUUUAGUCCACUGUGCUUUCAGCACUGUUGUCUGGAGAAGGACGUGGUCCACAUGGCUUCCACCUUAUGAAACUACGUUCCUCAAGCCUCAACCCACAGUGAGAGAACUGAGUGUCCCCUGGACUCAAGGGCUGACUCAAGGACCUUCACCAGCUUGUCCCCACAUCCUCACCAACGUUAUCACUAACCGAAGCAGAAACUAUAACCAAAGGUACUGCUCCCCUGAACUGGGAUUUUAGAAACUGGCAGAAUUUUUCCUACCCCACUGAGGGACUUCUUGACUAUCAUUUGGCUAGACUUUUGAGAUUUUUCUGCCACACCGAGGCAACGUAAGAAGAUAUUUCCAGACGUGGGGCCCAGCUUUGCCUCACAAGGCCAGCAGCUGUGGGACUUCUUUGUGCCAUUGCCUUAGGGAUCAAGCUUAAAAGGAAAUCUUGAUCACUAUGUGGCCAACAGACACCAAACAGUGGAGCAGCAUAGAUCCCUGCUGGGUGAGGUGUCUGUUCUUCUGGGCGCCUUCCAGCUUCUCCAGACGACACUGAAAGGGUUUAAGAAUGUGUCCCCCGCUGAGCCCUGCGAAGUCAGUGUCUAGCUGUGUCUGUCCUCUGGCCAGUAUCACCUGGGGAAGGACAGCGUUUGCCCAGCUCCUGUCCCAGGUCACUGCUGAUGUGAAUAUGAGGAACUUGAGAACAUCCAUAUGGACAAUCUCAUUGGCUUUAAAGGGCUUGCUCUGCCCUGAAGGAGCCACAGCCCAAUCAGGCUGCAUUUGAGAUCACAAGUUCUAACCAGAGAACUCAGAGCAGACACAUGCAGUUGGUGGCUACCUGGAUGGUUUAGAAGACACUGCAUAAUUUAAUUUCAAGGACUCUCAUGUCCAUGAGUGCAAAGGCAAAUCAAGCAGAUGAUGGUACAUAAAGAAACGGGGAAGAUUUAUCACCCACAGCAGGGAUAAUGACACAGUUCUGAAAUCUCCUUUUGUGAUGGCCGCUGUUACCUUUUGUUCUCAUCCCACAAGAAGAGGCCCUGAUGUCAGGGACGGUGCCCAGCCUAGAGCCUCAAGGCUCACAAUGGCGCCCUCAUCUUCAGGGAAUCCGCCAAUUGCACUGCUUAAGUGUGACAGUGCAUGGCUGUUUCCAUGUACUGCUUCGCUUUUCUCUAAAAUAACCUGUCUCCCCACUUGCAGAGCACAGAGGUGUCCAGGUGGCACGGAUUGUCCCCACACAUCCCCCAGCCCCCUUUCCGCUGUUACGGGACACCCAGUGUUGGUGUGUUUUCUGUCAGGAUUCAGGUUUCUUUCUACCCUGGAAUGCCUGCAAACCAAUUGGAAAACAGUAGUAUCAUCAGAAAUGCCAAACUCUGAACUCCUCUCAGGGUGAGGUUUGCAGCUUAUUCUCUUACCCCCUCCCUCCUCCAUUUUUAGUCAGUUCCUUCCAUUAGCUUAGUAAAACUUUCCCAAAGUGAAAACACCCUCUGUCCUAAGGAAUGAAGACAAUAGAGUGGAAACACAGGGUGCCCGGGUCUUCUGUAGGUCUCCUCCAGUAACCUGGGAACCAACCACAGGGUCCCGUCUCUACACUGCUGCUGCACGCACACAGUUCUUAGUCACCCAUCCCACAGUGUCCUCUGAUGUAGUCUUCCCAUAAUCGAAUGAGGAAUGCUACAGCUUAGGCCACAGAGCCUUUCUUGUACCUUUGUAAGUGCAGACGAGAGGCGCCAUCAUUAGACCCAUGCUGAUAGGUUCGGUGCAUACAGCAUUGUGGGAGUUCUAGACGGGCUGGGGACUGGAUCAUGGACUGAACCCUCCAACAGUUGAUUACCUUUGGGGUCUGUACACUGAAAGAGGGCUGAAUGAAAUAUGUGUCUUCUUGGAGGAAGGCUUUGUAUGACAUUUCCCUCCAAAUAGUCGGGGGAAGACAAGCUGAGUGGUGCAGAUGCAGAGGAGACAUUUAGACUGUGGAGCCUCCUGCAAGUUGUGCAGAGACCCCCAGGUCUGUGGCCUUUGUGGACUGUCCCCCAAGUUUGAGUGGGGUUUCCAGUGGUAGAAAUGUCUUUUUUCCUCAGAGUCAUUGCUGUACCUUGCACAUAAUCCCUCAUCAAUAUUCCUGGUAGUAACCCCAAUAAAACCUCAUUGUCUCACCAAA